GGAAAGCGGCAAACGGCGUAGUAAUAUGUAGGUACGUACCCUCAGGUUGGGAAUAGCCACGGGAAACUGUGGGUAAUGCCCAAUAAUCUCUGCGGAGCAAAGGUGAGAUUCCGCCUGAGGAGCGGCUUACACGAUAUUAGCUAGUUGGUGGGGUAAUGGCCUACCAAGGCAACGAUGUCUAGGGGGUGUGAGAGCAUGGCCCCCACGACCGGAACUGAGACACUGUCCGGACACCUACGGGUGGCUGCAGUCGAGAAUCUUCCGCAAUGGGCGAAAGCCUGACGGAGCGACGCCGCGUGCGGGAUGAAGGCCCUUGGGUUGUAAACCGCUGUCAGAGGGGAUGAAAUCAUGGUAGGCAAUCCUUCCAUGUUGACAGAGCCUCAGAGGAAGCACGGGCUAAGUACGUGCCAGCAGCCGCGGUAACACGUACUGUGCGAACGUUAUUCGGAAUCACUGGGCUUAAAGGGUACGUGGGCGGUUUAUCAAGUCAGAUGUGAAAUGCCACAGCUCAACUGUGGCACUGCGUUUGAAACUGAUAGACUAGAGUAUUCCAGGGGUGUGCGGAACUGCCAGUGGAGCGGUGAAAUGCGUUGAUAUUGGCAGGAACACCGGAGGCGAAGGCGGCACACUGGGGGAUAACUGACGCUGAGGUACGAAAGCCAGGGUAGCGAACGGGAUUAGAUACCCCGGUAGUCCUGGCUGUAAACGAUGAGCACUGGGCGAGAGACGAUUCGUC
Molecule: ribosomal RNA, 736 nt
Filed under: uncultured bacterium
Lineage: Bacteria
Description: bacterial SSU rRNA
Rfam family: Bacterial small subunit ribosomal RNA
Source: RNAcentral